RNAcentral lists this ribosomal RNA (874 nucleotides) under uncultured Stenotrophomonas sp. RNAcentral's name for it is "bacterial SSU rRNA". It matches the Rfam family "Bacterial small subunit ribosomal RNA", at positions 60 to 920 of the family's 1533-position model. The record is from RNAcentral. Lineage: Bacteria; Pseudomonadati; Pseudomonadota; Gammaproteobacteria; Lysobacterales; Lysobacteraceae.
AGUCGAACGGCAGCACAGAGAGAGCUUGCUCCUUGGGUGGCGAGUGGCGGACGGGUGAGGAAUACAUCGGAAUCUACUUUUUCGUGGGGGAUAACGUAGGGAAACUUACGCUAAUACCGCAUACGACCUACGGGUGAAAGCAGGGGACCUUCGGGCCUUGCGCGAUUGAAUGAGCCGAUGUCGGAUUAGCUAGUUGGCGGGGUAAAGGCCCACCAAGGCGACGAUCCGUAGCUGGUCUGAGAGGAUGAUCAGCCACACUGGAACUGAGACACGGUCCAGACUCCUACGGGAGGCAGCAGUGGGGAAUAUUGGACAAUGGGCGCAAGCCUGAUCCAGCCAUACCGCGUGGGUGAAGAAGGCCUUCGGGUUGUAAAGCCCUUUUGUUGGGAAAGAAAUCCAGCUGGCUAAUACCCGGUUGGGAUGACGGUACCCAAAGAAUAAGCACCGGCUAACUUCGUGCCAGCAGCCGCGGUAAUACGAAGGGUGCAAGCGUUACUCGGAAUUACUGGGCGUAAAGCGUGCGUAGGUGGUCGUUUAAGUCCGUUGUGAAAGCCCUGGGCUCAACCUGGGAACUGCAGUGGAUACUGGGCGACUAGAGUGUGGUAGAGGGUAGCGGAAUUUCCUGGUGUAGCAGUGAAAUGCGUAGAGAUCAGAGGAACAUCCAUGGCGAAGGCAGCUACCUGGACCAACACUGACACUGAGGCACGAAAGCGGUGGGGAGCAACAGGAUUAGAUACCCUGGUAGUCCACGCCCUAAACGAUGCGAACUGGAUGUUGGGUGCAAUUUGGCACGCAGUAUCGAAGCUACGCGUUAAGUCGCCGCCUUGGGGGAGUACGUCCGCAGACUGAAACUCAAAAGGAAUUUGACGGGGGU